UGGCUGGAGACAAAGACGGAAGGAUUUGUGGAGGAAAACAGUGGAGGCAGAGAGCAGCUAAGAGACUACUGCGGAAAUGGUUCCUGAACUGCAGCAUAGCUCAGCAAGGUGACUGGAUGAGUCUCAGCUGGGAGUUUACACACCCUGUGGACAGAAAGAAGACAAAGAUGCACUUCUCAACAGAUACUGCUCUGUCAUCACCAAAUCUUGAAAAUAACUCUACACAGUAGACAUCGUUAUCUCUGCCUUAUAGAUGAAGAAACUGAGGCUCAAAGGGUUCAGCUAACUCGCCCAAGGCCAUACUCGGGAAAGCGGUGGACUUGGAAUUCAUCAUUAAAGCCAUCUCACUCUGAGGCCAGUGUCCUUCUGAUUUCCUACAGGGCGCCUUGAACGUGUUCUGGGGCAUAAUCCUGGGCUCACAGUGGGGCUGGGAUUAGAAUUCUGCACAAAAUGCUUCCUAAUCAUUUUCCUGUCAGAGGGCCUCCACUUUACUUAGUACCAAAC
This 504-nucleotide long non-coding RNA is filed under the name Fukomys damarensis (Damara mole-rat). RNAcentral describes it as "lncRNA (ENSFDAG00000021895.1)". The record is from RNAcentral. Lineage: Eukaryota; Metazoa; Chordata; Mammalia; Rodentia; Bathyergidae.